RNAcentral lists this ribosomal RNA (497 nucleotides) under uncultured bacterium. Its description in RNAcentral is "partial 16S ribosomal RNA". It matches the Rfam family "Bacterial small subunit ribosomal RNA", at positions 28 to 507 of the family's 1533-position model. The record is from RNAcentral.
GAUGAACGCUGGCGGCGUGCCUAAUACAUGCAAGUCGAGCGAACAGACGAGGAGCUUGCUCCUCUGACGUUAGCGGCGGACGGGUGAGUAACACGUGGAUAACCUACCUAUAAGACUGGGAUAACUUCGGGAAACCGGAGCUAAUACCGGAUAAUAUAUUGAACCGCAUGGUUCAAUAGUUAAAGACGGUUUUGCUGUCACUUAUAGAUGGAUCCGCGCCGGAUUAGCUAGUUGGUAAGGUAACGGCUUACCAAGGCGACGAUGCGUAGCCGACCUGAGAGGGUGAUCGGCCACACUGGAACUGAGACACGGUCCAGACUCCUACGGGAGGCAGCAGUAGGGAAUCUUCCGCAAUGGGCGAAAGCCUGACGGAGCAACGCCGCGUGAGUGAUGAAGGUCUUCGGAUCGUAAAACUCUGUUAUUAGGGAAGAACAAAUGUGUAAGUAACUAUGCACGUCUUGACGGUACCUAAUCAGAAAGCCACGGCUAACUACGUG